UCUUCGCAAACGCUUUGAGGGCUGAAAUGGGCACCCGGCUCUUCAAACUCCUUCCGGAGAGGGAACUCAAGCUCCCAACGGAAUUCGCGAAAGGGAGGGGGACAUAGAAAAGGAAGGCGCAUAUGUUGGGCCCUGUCUCAGUGAUCUCUAAGCUCAGUUUCCCCGAGUUCGGUCCUGCACGUGCUUGACUCCAGCCAGCCACCGUAGGCCCCGCAACCCGCAGUAUACUUUCUUAUGGCCCUUCUACCGGUAGCUCCGCGCUUGCUCACCAACUUGCCUGCCUUGCGCAUCCACCCCUCCUUCCAUUUCUUCUCCCCCGCAGCAGCCUCUGCCGGCCGCGACUGCGCCUGCGUACUGACGCCCCCACCGGCCCCGCGUGGGAGGAGGGGAUGGAAAUGAGGCUGGGCCGUGCAGCUCACGCGCGCUCCCUCCCCUCCCGUCGCUGGGCACGCGCCGGGCCGUGCAGCUUUGCCGCGUCCGAGGGCAGCGCAGCGGCUGCCGCGGCCGCUGCGGGAGGGGCCCGGAGCCCCGCCCCCGGGGAGGGGCCUUCCGCAGGUGAGGCGGGCACGGGUCCGGGCCUGGACGCCUGGGUCAUCGGGAAGUGGAUUGGGGGCUGGACGCCAAGAUCUCCCGGAAAGGAAUCGAUUGGCGUCCUGGUGCAUAGGUUCCGGAGGGACUGCAUUGGUGCCUGAGCCUUGGACUCCCCUACCCUCCACCCUGGGGAUGAAAUUUAGCAACAAGAAGGAAGCAGUUCACGCUGCGUCAAUGGACUGAGACUAAACCAAGAUUCGGGCCCUAUAGCCCUAUCCCCGUCAGCCUGGUAAUCACCGGCAUCGCCUACCUCCCUCUGGGUUCCUGGGCCAGCAAGAUGCUGGAACGAGAUGCAGAGUCCGCGGCCGGGGACAACGAUCCUAGUCCUACUGGCAAGGAACAAGUAACCAAGGGAGGAGUUCUAUAGCCACUUCUGAAAGCCCUGGAGAAAGGGAGAUACACGUGGCCCAGGGGAGCGGAGAUGGACUUCAUGAGCAUCCAGGCUGCCAGCCCAGGACCCACAGAGGGAUAAACAACACCCAGGAAUGGGCUCAGAGGGCUAGAACCCCAAUUACCUGCCACCACAGAGGGCCUGACGAUCUCACCUUGGAGCUGCCGCCUACUGUCCUGGAGACCGGAGAGGCUGAAGAGGCGGCACUAGAGGCCUGCAGGGUAGCAGCUGCAUAGCUGGGUCCUGCCGGGUCACUGGCUGCGGCUACCAAGGGAGAAAGUGGAGCCGGGGUUCCAACCCUGGACUCACUGAGGACUCAAGCUUCCAUGCUCACCUGGGGGGGUCUUAUUGAUCCUGCUGAAGAAGAGGGCCCCAGGUCUCAAGGAGCUGGCACCCUCAUCCUCCUCCUUCACGCGGAACUGGCCAAGCUUCGUCACCUUCUAAGGUCUCACAAGUUCCGUUAGCUUCACGGCACGUGGCAGAGGCUGCUGCAGAUCCGAGCAAAUCCUCUCCCGCAUGCCCGAAUUCCUGACCACAGAAUGGGAGGGAGCACUGUGUGCCACUUCUGGAACACAGAAAUGCUCCAGGCUCUUUCCCACUCUGCCAGCUGGACACAGAGCCAUAAGCUCAAGGAGCGUGAGUCCCUGGAUGACCAGCCAAACACCCCCUAAGACAGGUCCCCAGCAACCCUGUGAGGAUCGGGAAACUGAGGCCGGAAAGGUUAAGUCACUUGCCCAAGGUCACACAGCUAAGUGGUGGACCUAGCGUCUGACUCCAGAUCCCACGAUGGUAACUGUUGGACUACUCCUUUGCCAAGUCAGCUGCCCCUUUCUCCCAUUCCCCUCUGAGAUCCUGUGGUUUGCCCUUCCCAGACAUCCUCUAGGGAAUCACCUAUGGGAAGGAUGACAAACCCACUUCAGAGACCUCUGGCAACCAGCCUCCUCCUAAUCCCCUGGGGAGACCAGCUGCCCCAUCUUCCCAGCCCUCUGGGACUCAAUGCUGGCCCCUCACCUCUCUCCUUGCCCAGGACUGAGGACCCAGCUCCCACCCCAGGUACCUUGCUGUAGGGCUGGCUGCAAACAAUUUUGACGCGGUCCCAGCGCUUCUCUGCUGCUGCCCGGACCAACUUGUCAGGCCCAAAAAUGCGAACACGAUUGGGGUUUGAGCCACUGCGGCUCUCGGAAGGGGACAUAAAAGAUGAAGUGACCAGCAGGACCUGGGAGAAGGAACAUCAAAGGAGAACCAGGGCUGGCUGACUUAAAUGACACCUCCCACAGGCUGGGAAGAAAGCAGGGGCCUGAGUAGGGCGUAGGGAGUGGCCAGAUCCAGCCUGCACCUCCACAUGCCUCAACUCCUCUCUCUUCCCUUGCUUCUGGGCUUCCGGGUCUUCUCUGUCUAGCCACAGAGGCCGCCAUACGGCCUUAAAGAACCCUCCCAGCGGAGAAUAAUCACAAUGACUGGCAUAAUGUUCAAAAACCUUUUGGAAAUAUGCGGCUGAGUUCAUGGAAAGCAGAGGAAGUAUCGCGGAGGGCAGACAUGAGAGCGGAAUCCAGAG
RNA transcript from Ailuropoda melanoleuca (giant panda), 2537 nucleotides. It is a transcript of the gene named zinc finger protein 575, with no coding region annotated. The record is from RefSeq and is a predicted model, not a curated record. The transcript has 9 exons. Lineage: Eukaryota; Metazoa; Chordata; Mammalia; Carnivora; Ursidae.